AGCACAUCGCAGGUGGAGGCGGCUCCUCCUGGGAAGAUCUUCUCCACCUUCACCACAGGUUGGACCUUGGACUCUAUGCCGCCGGAUAUGCUGAUGCCUGCGACAUUGAAGACACUAAGUUCAAAUUGCUUCAAGGGUCACAGUUCAUACUCUUGUGGAGAACGUCGGCCUGAAUCUGAGACGUCUUGGCUUCCGACGGCAGGGUUUUCAGAGACUAGCCAGUUAGGGCUCAGGUGACCUUCAGGCGAGUGUUUGUGCUCCUCUGUGAACCAGUACCCAUCUACUGGAAUGUCUAGCAAUGGCGAGAAGGGGGCGUUGGGGCGCCGCCGCCUUUCUCUGGAUGCCCGUGGCCCUGACAGACUGAGUUUCUCCAGCUUGUCCGCUAGGUGGCUCUGCUUCUCCACUAUGGCAGCGCUGUGCAGCUCGAAGCCUCCUCGCAAAUCUAAAUCACAGUAUUUAAUUUUCACACAGCCUGUCAAAGCUGACUUUUUUUUUUUGUAUGUUCUGUGCAAAUUGUACCAAACGCCAAAUUUUGAUGGGUUCUUGCAUACAGGAACCGACUUGAAGCACCAACCUGGGAUGGGUGUGAUGAGACGGCGUUUGGGCGCUCGGCCGGAUGCGGGCGAGCGAAGAGGCGGCGUUCGGACUGAUGGGGGCAAAAAAAAGCAGAGGACCUCCACGGCGUUGCUGUGGCUAAUGUCCUCAAAGCUCACACCAUUGGCAGCCAGGAUUUGGUCACCCAUCUUGAUCCCGU
Molecule: long non-coding RNA, 754 nt
Organism: Syngnathus acus (greater pipefish)
Lineage: Eukaryota; Metazoa; Chordata; Actinopteri; Syngnathiformes; Syngnathidae
Exons: 3
Source: RefSeq, a predicted model, not a curated record